ACGCACAAUCGCACAAAGGUUAAAACAGCGUAAAUUGGCUCAAAACGUCCAUUCAGAUUUCGGUUAUCCUUUAUAUGAUUCUAAAACGUAUAUCCGACUGAAAUGUAAGAGUAUUGUUUUUCUGUGUUAAUUAGAAAUGCAUAGGUACGUUUAACACAGGAUCGUCGCGUCGUGGUCGUUACAACAAUGUAUCUCGUCCCGGUAGAUUUUUCGAUUGUGUUUUUUUCUGUUCCUAUAUAGAUCCAAUCGCGGGAUACGCGAUAUCGAGAAGAAAAUCGUAUACAUUU
Molecule: non-coding RNA, 287 nt
Organism: Cinara cedri
Lineage: Eukaryota; Metazoa; Arthropoda; Insecta; Hemiptera; Aphididae
Source: the annotation of a GenBank genome assembly